This 304-nucleotide ribosomal RNA is filed under the name uncultured Spirosoma sp. Its description in RNAcentral is "bacterial SSU rRNA". It matches the Rfam family "Bacterial small subunit ribosomal RNA", at positions 101 to 405 of the family's 1533-position model. Lineage: Bacteria; Pseudomonadati; Bacteroidota; Cytophagia; Cytophagales; Cytophagaceae. The record is from RNAcentral.
AACGGGUGCGUAACGCGUAAGCAACCUGCCUCAUACUGGGGGAUAGCCCGGCGAAAGCUGGGGUAAACCCGCACGGUCCAAUGGAAUCACCUGGUUUUAUUGGUAAACAUUUAUGGGUAUGAGAGGGGCUUGCGUCUGAUUAGUUAGUUGGCAGGGUAACGGCCUACCAAGACGAUGAUCAGUAGGGGUUCUGAGAGGAUUGGCCCCCACAUGGGUACUGAGAUACGGACCCAACUCCUACGGGAGGCAGCAGUAGGGAAUAUUGGGCAAUGGAGGCAACUCUGACCCAGCCAUGCCGCGUGCA